RNAcentral lists this ribosomal RNA (390 nucleotides) under uncultured bacterium. Its description in RNAcentral is "bacterial SSU rRNA". It matches the Rfam family "Bacterial small subunit ribosomal RNA", at positions 28 to 420 of the family's 1533-position model. The record is from RNAcentral.
GACGAACGCUGGCGGCGUGCUUAACACAUGCAAGUCGAGCGGUAAGGCCCUUUCGGGGGUACGACGAGCGGCGAACGGGUGAGUAACACGUGGGUGACCUGCCCUCAGCUCUGGGAUAAGCCUGGGAAACCGGGUCUAAUACCGGAUAUGACUCCAUGACGCAUGUUGUGGGGUGGAAAGCCUUGUGCGGCUGAGGAUGGGCCCGCGGCCUAUCAGCUUGUUGGUGGGGUGAUGGCCUACCAAGGCGACGACGGUAGCCGGCCUGAGAGGCGACCGGCCACACUGGGACUGAGACACGGCCCAGACUCCUACGGGAGGCAGCAGUGGGGAAUCUUGCGCAAUGGGCGAAAGCCUGACGCAGCGACGCCGCGUGAGGGAUGACGGCCUCGG